UGGACAGUGAUGAAUGUCAUGUGGCUUCUGAACAAAAGAUUUUGAUUAAGCCUAUCUGGAACUCUGAGGGCCAU
Otolemur garnettii (small-eared galago) is the source of this 74-nucleotide small nucleolar RNA. NCBI's taxonomy places the organism in Eukaryota, Metazoa, Chordata, Mammalia, Primates, Galagidae. The record is from Ensembl.